RNAcentral lists this ribosomal RNA (465 nucleotides) under uncultured bacterium. RNAcentral describes it as "partial 16S ribosomal RNA". It matches the Rfam family "Bacterial small subunit ribosomal RNA", at positions 338 to 795 of the family's 1533-position model. The record is from RNAcentral.
CCUACGGGCGGCUGCAGUGGGGAAUAUUGCGCAAUGGGCGAAAGCCUGACGCAGCGACGCCGCGUGAGGGAUGAAGGUCUUCGGAUCGUAAACCUCUGUCAGCAGGGAAGAACGGUCACUGUGCUAAUCAGCAGUGAAUUGACGGUACCUGCAAAGGAAGCACCGGCUAACUCCGUGCCAGCAGCCGCGGUAAUACGGAGGGUGCGAGCGUUAAUCGGAAUUACUGGGCGUAAAGCGCACGUAGGCGGUAUGUCAAGUCAAGGGGGAAAUCCCCGGGCUCAACGUGGGAACUGCCUGUGAUACUGGCAAACUAGAGGGUUGUAGAGGAGAGUAGAAUUCCAUGUGUAGGAGUGAAAUCCGUAGAUAUGUGGAGGAACAGCAGUGGCGAAGGCGACCAUCUGGCACAUAACUGACGCUGAGGAGCGAAAGCGUGGGUAGCAAACAGGAUUAGAUACCCGAGUAGUC